This 623-nucleotide long non-coding RNA is filed under the name Bos taurus (domestic cattle). RNAcentral's name for it is "long non-coding RNA NONBTAT018644". The record is from RNAcentral. Lineage: Eukaryota; Metazoa; Chordata; Mammalia; Artiodactyla; Bovidae.
UCAGUUCUUUUCAACUGCACUGCCUCUUCUAUAUUAAUUCUUAAAGGUAAGGAUAUUCUUAAAGGUAAAUUAUGUUUAAUUCUUAAACAUAAUUCUAUGUUAAUUCUUAACAGUCAUAUUUUUAGCAGUGGUACUUGCACAAAAUCCUAAGGGUGGGAAAAAAAAAAAAAUCCUAAGGGUGGGAAAAUUAAUUUCCGAUGUCAGUUCUUAACGUCUCUAUUACUGAUUUUAACUGAGAAAAUGUGACCGUAUAAAUUGCAGGACCAAAUGGCAGUGGUUUUACACAACAGUUUAAAAUGGGGAGAGAUGAAUUAUUUGCUCUUCUGUGUUCUUACUGUACUUUCCCAUAAUAUUUAAAUUGUUGGUAUUUUAUCUUUACCUCACCACCACUUAUAGGUAUAAUAGAGUAGUCAAAUAAUGUUGCACAUACAUGAGUGGAUAGAGAAACGUGAACAUUUAAGAUCACUAAAUGGAAAUAUAUUGGGGGCAUGUAGGCAUACUUUCCUAAUUUUUUAGAAAGAACUCUUGGUUGUUUAUAUUCUUUAAAUCACCUGAUAUUUGAUAGUCAUAUUUUCUUUCAGUUAGAUGACAAUAGAUGGUGUCAAAGAAAUAGUAGAGGUCAC